GACGAACGCUGGCGGCGUGCCUAAUACAUGCAAGUUGAGCGCUGAAGGUUGGUACUUGUACCGACUGGAUGAGCAGCGAACGGGUGAGUAACGCGUGGGGAAUCUGCCUUUGAGCGGGGGACAACAUUUGGAAACGAAUGCUAAUACCGCAUAAAAACUUUAAACACAAGUUUUAAGUUUGAAAGAUGCAAUUGCAUCACUCAAAGAUGAUCCCGCGUUGUAUUAGCUAGUUGGUGAGGUAAAGGCCCACCAAGGCGAUGAUACAUAGCCGACCUGAGAGGAUGAUCGGCCACAUUGGGACUGAGACACGGCCCAAACUCCUACGGGAGGCAGCAGUAGGGAAGCUUCGGCAAUGGACGAAAGUCUGACCGAGCAACGCCGCGUGAGUGAAGAAGGUUGUCGGAUCGUAAAACUCUGUUGGUAGAGAAGAACGUUAGUGAGAGUGGAAAGCUCAUAAAGUGACGGUAACUACCCAGAAAGGGACGGCUAACUACGUG
RNAcentral lists this ribosomal RNA (497 nucleotides) under uncultured bacterium. RNAcentral's name for it is "partial 16S ribosomal RNA". It matches the Rfam family "Bacterial small subunit ribosomal RNA", at positions 28 to 507 of the family's 1533-position model. The record is from RNAcentral.